UUUCAAAACAAAAUGCACAAACAAUACAAAAUAGAAGUCAAUUUUUGUGAAAUACUCUGAUAGAAGCUUCAUCCCUCUUCAUUGUUCAUCCCAAUCGAGAGGGGAAGAUGCAUCUAUGGCCUUCGACGAGGAUCAGAGACUCUUUCAAGCACGCUUACAUCAAAAAGCUGGAAUGGAACCUCCACAGAAUGAAAAUUCAAAAGCAUCAGCAGCAAUCUUCGAGCAAACAAAACUUGUUGGAUAAAGAACAAGCUUCUGAUGCUGCUGAUGGCGAACCUGCAGAAUGUUCCAGUUCACUUUCUUUUGGUCAACGAGUACUUGAAUUCUCCUCAGAACUCCUCCUUCUUCUCUCCUGUUGUUACUGCUGCUAUUGCUGCGGAGCUUGCCUCUCCGAAGAAGAACAUUAAUGUUGUUGAAGAAUAGAUGCUUGGAAUUGAUAAAGACAGCUGAUUGAUGCAGAUGAUAUUUACAUUAUUUGUACUGUAGCCUAGCCAUGUACAGGUAAUUCUAGCGUUAAUGAACAUUGGCACAUAUUGAUCUCCUUUUCUUUUCAUUACGUUGAAGAUAUUGUUAAACCUAAACCAGGGAAUUAUAUAUACAUGUAACUUAGAUUUAGGAACUCCCAACAUACUGUUGGGAUAAACACUAUAUUCUUCGGAUCAA
Molecule: non-coding RNA, 663 nt
Organism: Benincasa hispida (wax gourd)
Lineage: Eukaryota; Viridiplantae; Streptophyta; Magnoliopsida; Cucurbitales; Cucurbitaceae
Source: RefSeq, a predicted model, not a curated record